UCCCUGGUGGCUGAGUUGGUAAAGAAUCUGCCUGCAACGCAGGAGACCCAGAAUUGAUCCCUGGGUUGGGAA
This 72-nucleotide transfer RNA is filed under the name Bos taurus (domestic cattle). It matches the Rfam family "tRNA". From Rfam's summary of the family: Transfer RNA (tRNA) molecules are approximately 80 nucleotides in length. Their secondary structure includes four short double-helical elements and three loops (D, anti-codon, and T loops). Lineage: Eukaryota; Metazoa; Chordata; Mammalia; Artiodactyla; Bovidae. The record is from Rfam by way of RNAcentral. RNAcentral also lists the same sequence under 3 other names.